Molecule: ribosomal RNA, 253 nt
Filed under: uncultured microorganism
Description: partial small subunit ribosomal RNA
Rfam family: Bacterial small subunit ribosomal RNA
Source: RNAcentral
UACAUAGGGGGCAAGCGUUAUCCGGAAUUAUUGGGCGUAAAGGGUGCGUAGGCGGCCAAUUAAGUCUGACGUGAAAUUUCACAGCUUAACUGUGAAGGGUCGUUGGAAACUGGUUGGCUUGAGUACAGUAGAGGUAAGUGGAAUUCCAAGUGGAGCGGUGGAAUGCGUAGAUAUUUGGAGGAACACCAGUGGCGAAGGCGGCUUACUGGGCUGGAACUGACGCUGAUGCACGAAAGCGUGGGGAGCAAACAGG